RNAcentral lists this ribosomal RNA (145 nucleotides) under Helvellaceae sp. Its description in RNAcentral is "partial large subunit ribosomal RNA". Lineage: Eukaryota; Fungi; Ascomycota; Pezizomycetes; Pezizales; Helvellaceae. The record is from RNAcentral.
CAGGCCAGCAUCAGUUUUGGUGGUUGGAUAAAGGCCUAGGGAAUGUAGCUUCUCUCGGGGAGUGUUAUAGCCUUAGGUGAAAUGCAGCCUACUGGGACUGAGGACCGCGCUUCUGCUAGGAUGCUGGCGUAAUGGUUGUAAGCGA